AGAGUUUGAUUCUGGCUCAGAGUGAACGCUGGCGGCGUGGAUUAGGCAUGCAAGUCGCGCGAUCUCGCAAGAGAUAGCGGCAAACGGGUUAGGAACACGUAAAUAAUCUUCCUCGUAUUCAAACAUAGCCUUAUGAGAAUAAGGGUAAUAUUUGAUAAUACCGUUGUGUGGCAUCACAUGACGUUUAAAGCAGGGGACCGCAAGGCCUUGCGAUAUGAGAUGAGUUUGCGUAGCAUCAGCUAGUUGGUAGGGUAAUGGCCUACCAAGGCAAUGACGCUUAGCUGGUCUGAGAGGACGAUCAGCAACACUGGGACUGAGACACUGCCCAGACUCCUACGGGAGGCUGCAGUCGAGAAUAUUUAGCAAUGGACGAAAGUCUGACUAUGCGACGCCGCGUGAGGGAUGAAGGAUUUCGGUUCGUAAACCUCUUUUGGCAGGGAAGAAAAUUACCAAUCUAAUAGAUUGGGAUCUGACGGUACCUGCAGAAUAAGCCACGGCUAACUCCGUGCCAGCAGCCGCGGUAAUACGGAGGUGGCAAGCGUUACUCGGAAUUAUUGGGUGUAAAGGGCAAGUAGGCGGUUUAUUAAGUGGGUGGUGAAAUACUCCGGCUCAAUCGGAGAACAGCCUUCCAAACUGAUAGGCUUGAGUGUGACAGAGGAAAUUGGAAUUCUCGGUGUAAGGGUGAAAUCUGUAGAUAUCGAGAAGAACACCAGCAGCGAAGGCGAAUUUCUGGGUCACUACUGACGCUAAAUUGCGAAAGCUAGGGGAGCAAACAGAAUUAGAUACUCUGGUAGUCCUAGCCGUAAACGAUGAGCACUAGGUGUUGGCCCCUUUAGGGGUCGGUGCCGCAGCUAACGCAUUAAGUGCUCCACCUGGGGACUACGGUCGCAAGGCUAAAACUCAAAGGAAUUGACGGGGGCCCGCACAAGCGGUGGAACAUGUGGUUUAAUUCGAAGCUACGCGAAAAACCUCACCAGGGCUUGACAUACAGGAAGUAGUGAAAUGAAAGUGGAACGACCCGUUAAGUCGGGAACCUGAACAGGUGCUGCAUGGCUGUCGUCAGCUCGUGUCGUGAGAUGUUGGGUUAAGUCCCGCAACGAGCGCAACCAUUAUCAUUUGUUGCCACUUUAUUUAUCUUUGAUAAGUAGAAGCACUCUAAUGAGACUGCCCAGGAUAACGGG
This 1181-nucleotide ribosomal RNA is filed under the name uncultured bacterium. RNAcentral describes it as "bacterial SSU rRNA". It matches the Rfam family "Bacterial small subunit ribosomal RNA", at positions 8 to 1165 of the family's 1533-position model. The record is from RNAcentral.